Molecule: small nuclear RNA, 107 nt
Organism: Neogale vison (American mink)
Lineage: Eukaryota; Metazoa; Chordata; Mammalia; Carnivora; Mustelidae
Source: Ensembl
GUGCUUGCUUCAGCAGCACAUAUACUAAAAUUGGAACAAUAUGGAGAAGAUUAGCAUGGCCCCCGUGCAAAAAUGACACACACAUUUGUGAAGUGUCCCAUAUUUAA